UUCUUAUCGAGAGCGGCGGAGGGACUGGCCCGAUGAAGCCCGGCAACCGUCUUGCGCGGAUGCCUUCGCGACGGCGGAAAAGAGGCCGCUGCGGCGAAGCACGCCGCGCAGGAAAAGGUGCCAACUCCUGCGGGAUGGGCGCCUUGCGCAAGAAGCCUUGUGCGCGAGGCCAUUCCGAGAGAUAAGAA
Molecule: non-coding RNA, 188 nt
Filed under: Hydrogenibacillus schlegelii
Lineage: Bacteria; Bacillati; Bacillota; Bacilli; Thermicanales; Thermicanaceae
Description: SAM-I sequence
Rfam family: SAM riboswitch aptamer (S box leader)
About the family: The SAM riboswitch is found upstream of a number of genes which code for proteins involved in methionine or cysteine biosynthesis in Gram-positive bacteria. The SAM riboswitch acts at the level of transcription termination control.
Source: Rfam by way of RNAcentral